UUGAAAAAACCACACUGUCGUUACCGUGUUUCAAAAUUGAGCUUUCGCAAGAAUUUUCCAAGUUGACCAUCAUCAUCAACCAUCUGAACCAUACAUACAUGUAUAUAAAGGGAAUAGAGAGAGUGUCUUUGUAUAUAUGCACGAAAAUAAGUAGUAGUAGAAAAUGAAAUUCUGUUCAAUCAUUAUUAGCUAUAUGUUACUCUUUCUCCUUCUUGUAUUUGUAUCAUUGCCCAGUAUCUACGUGCCACAAAAAUGUUUCAGCCCUACAGAUGAUCAUUAUAAUCAUCGUUUGAUCAUUACCCGAAAAUUGAGAAGACAACUGAUCAUCGGGCCGCCAUCUCCUAAGAAAGCAGUUCCUCCUGGUGCUGGAUACAAAUAAUCAAUACAGCUUGUAACUUUAUUAAAUCUAUUAUAUGUUUUUACUUCGUCUUUAACACUUGGAAAAUCAGGUACUGAAGAAUAAAAGCUUCUAAUAAAUCAGUUUUUACUUCAUUUUCCA
Long non-coding RNA from Cannabis sativa, 499 nucleotides. RefSeq lists it as uncharacterized. The record is from RefSeq and is a predicted model, not a curated record. The transcript is spliced from 2 exons. Lineage: Eukaryota; Viridiplantae; Streptophyta; Magnoliopsida; Rosales; Cannabaceae.